Molecule: ribosomal RNA, 319 nt
Filed under: Euscalpellum cf. squamosum SML-2013
Lineage: Eukaryota; Metazoa; Arthropoda; Thecostraca; Calanticomorpha; Calanticidae
Description: partial 12S ribosomal RNA
Source: RNAcentral
AGUGGAUUUGGCGGCAUAAUAGUCCAUUUAGAGGAACCUGCCCUAUUAAUGAUAGACCACGAAUUACUAAUCUUUUAUUAGUAAUCAGUAUGUAUACCGCUGUUGUAAGUUAGUUUUAAUAGAAAAUUAACAAUAAUGAAAUUUUCAUUGACUUCAAGUAAAGGUGCAGCUUAUAUAAAAGAGAGAGGUGGGUUACAAUAAUUUGAUUUAUACGGAUUUAUAAAGGAAGAAUAAAAAAUAAUUUUGUUUUGAAGGUGGAUUUAAUAGUAAAAUUUUAAUUAUUUGAAUAGAGCUCUAUUAUGUGUACACACCGCCCGUC